This is a long non-coding RNA of Scatophagus argus, 916 nucleotides long. RefSeq lists it as uncharacterized. The transcript has 3 exons. NCBI's taxonomy places the organism in Eukaryota, Metazoa, Chordata, Actinopteri, Scatophagidae. The record is from RefSeq and is a predicted model, not a curated record.
GCCCAGGCCUAGCUGGUCCAUCAGGUAAAGUAUACUUAGUGGCUUAGUGGCAGAUUGCUGAGAACUGUUUCCUUUUCUCCUCAGGAAUAAAUAAAUAAAAAAUAUAGAAAAAGUAGUGACAUGUUAAGGAUAUAGAUCAUUGAUAAGCUCAUUAUGUAGAUAAGUCAUGACUAAUUUAGACAGAGAAGUGUAGGAUAUUGCUAAGUAAUUGUAGGGCUCUUAUAUGUUUAUAUUAUUAAACAUUUGUCAUAGAAUGUCCAGCAGUAAUGGUAAGUCUUACAACUGUUCAACAACCUCAUUAAAAUAUAUUUUUUUUAUUUGAAAAACACUGUAAUUGAAGCAAAGGGCCUUCUUAACAAUGUCAUUAUAAAUGACAAUCCAUAAUAAUUGUUGUGAUGAUGAGUGGAUGGCUUAGGAGGUCUGCUGCUCUCUGAAGCUGCCAACAGGCCAGCACCAAGACAGAAGAAAUGAAGUUCACCAGCAGCUGAGCCGGGUUUACUGAUAGGAUCUCCCACCAGGUUUGCUGCAUGGCUGUUCCUCAUUCUCCUCAUCAUCCUCACCCUCUUCCAGACUACUUAAGGUCCGGCCUCACCUCUGCACUUCUUGGGCCACCACGACUCCAGCUCUGUGAGUCUAAGUCAGGGCUCAAUCGCCUACCAGUUCGUCUGUCAGUCCAGUAGCUCCGUGUUCCUGGAAAGUCUUCCUGAACUCUCUUCCCUGCCUUCAGUCCUGGAUUCACUUGCAACUACUGAGCUCCUAGGUAACGACUCCGGGUUCUGUGUGGACAACCGUGCAUCUUCAGCUAUGAGGCUCUAUUGCAAAUAAAUACCUGCUGAACGUUUACUUCUAAGUGUGUGUAUGUGUGUGUUCUGCUCAGGGGUUUGUUUAAACAUAAGACUCAAACUCUGUGCGUUUG